RNAcentral lists this ribosomal RNA (451 nucleotides) under Conus varius. RNAcentral's name for it is "partial 12S ribosomal RNA". The record is from RNAcentral. Lineage: Eukaryota; Metazoa; Mollusca; Gastropoda; Neogastropoda; Conidae.
GGAGUUAUGCCGGGCAUGAUUUAUUUGAGAUACUGAAUCUGUGAAAGCUCUAAGGGAAACUGGGAUUGGAUACCCCACUAUUUUUAGUAGUAAAUCAACUUAAGUUUACCGGAGUACUACGAAUCAAAAAGUUUAAAACUCAAAGGGCUUGGCGGUGUUUUAGACCUCUCAGGGGAACCUGUCUCGUAAUCGACAAUCCACGUUAAACCUGACCCUUUAUAGCAAUCAGCUUGUAUACCGUCGUCGUCAGGUAACUUCUUAAAAUAUAGUAGUUAGCUUGAUAAUUCUGUUAGUUAAUACGUCAGAUCAAGGUGCAGCUAAUAAAAGGGAGAGGAUGGGUUACAAUUAUAUAUUCAUAAUGACGGAAAAUGUUAGGAAGUAAAUAAUUAUGAAGGAGGACUUGAAAGUAAUUUUAGUUAUAUAAACAAAAUGAAUAGGGCUCUGAAACGUG